This 497-nucleotide ribosomal RNA is filed under the name uncultured bacterium. RNAcentral's name for it is "partial 16S ribosomal RNA". It matches the Rfam family "Bacterial small subunit ribosomal RNA", at positions 28 to 507 of the family's 1533-position model. The record is from RNAcentral.
GAUGAACGCUGGCGGCGUGCCUAAUACAUGCAAGUCGAGCGAACGGACGAGAAGCUUGCUUCUCUGAUGUUAGCGGCGGACGGGUGAGUAACACGUGGAUAACCUACCUAUAAGACUGGGAUAACUUCGGGAAACCGGAGCUAAUACCGGAUAAUAUUUUGAACCGCAUGGUUCAAAAGUGAAAGACGGUCUUGCUGUCACUUAUAGAUGGAUCCGCGCUGCAUUAGCUAGUUGGUAAGGUAACGGCUUACCAAGGCAACGAUGCAUAGCCGACCUGAGAGGGGGAUCGGCCACACUGGGACGGAGACACGGUCCAGACUCCUACGGGAGGCAGCAGUAGGGAAUCUUCCGCAAUGGGCGAAAGCCUGACGGAGCAACGCCGCGUGAGUGAUGAAGGUCUUCGGAUCGUAAAACUCUGUUAUGAGGGAAGAACAUAUGUGUAAGUAACUGUGCACAUCUUGACGGUACCUAAUUAGAAAGCCACGGCUAACUACGUG